UUCCUGAAAAUCCAGUGGUUAGGACUCAGUACUUGCACUGCUGUGACCCAGGUUCAAUCCCUAGUUGGGGAA
This 72-nucleotide transfer RNA is filed under the name Bos taurus (domestic cattle). It matches the Rfam family "tRNA". Rfam says of the family: Transfer RNA (tRNA) molecules are approximately 80 nucleotides in length. The record is from Rfam by way of RNAcentral. Lineage: Eukaryota; Metazoa; Chordata; Mammalia; Artiodactyla; Bovidae.